This 128-nucleotide ribosomal RNA is filed under the name Escherichia coli. Its description in RNAcentral is "partial 16S ribosomal RNA". It matches the Rfam family "Bacterial small subunit ribosomal RNA", at positions 1 to 119 of the family's 1533-position model. The record is from RNAcentral. Lineage: Bacteria; Pseudomonadati; Pseudomonadota; Gammaproteobacteria; Enterobacterales; Enterobacteriaceae.
UUAAAUUGAAGAGUUUGAUCAUGGCUCAGAUUGAACGCUGGCGGCAGGCCUAACACAUGCAAGUCGAACGGUAACAGGAAUCAGCUUGCUGAUUCGCUGACGAGUGGCGGACGGGUGAGUAAUGUCUG